RNAcentral lists this ribosomal RNA (123 nucleotides) under uncultured bacterium. RNAcentral describes it as "partial 16S ribosomal RNA". The record is from RNAcentral.
UUCUUCUACAGGUACCGUCACAAUCGUUCCUGUCGAAAGAGGUUUACAACUCAGAAAGCCUUCGUCCCUCACGCGGCGUUGCUGCGUCAGACUUUCGUCCAUUGCGCAAGAUUCCCCACUGCU